Molecule: unclassified non-coding RNA, 235 nt
Filed under: Hevea brasiliensis (rubber tree)
Lineage: Eukaryota; Viridiplantae; Streptophyta; Magnoliopsida; Malpighiales; Euphorbiaceae
Source: RNAcentral
CGCAAAGUCGUCAUUAAUACGUCGACAGCUCCAGAGUAUUGAUUGCUUUAUUAAAUAACUUUGAAACUUAGCUAAUGCCGUUGCUGCCCCCACACACACAAGAAAAGAAAAAAAGGAUGAGAAGGAAGAAGAAUGAAAAAUGAAAGAGGAAAGAAAACCCUAGCCAUUGCCACCAUGUAAACCCGCUUAGCAGGGGACUUGUUUGUUACAACCAUCCCCAUCACCUGGCUCAAUG